UCCUGGCGGCGAGUGGCGAACGGGUGAGUAAUAUAUCGGAACGUGCCCAGUAGUGGGGGAUAGCCCGGCGAAAGCCGGAUUAAUACCGCAUGAGACCUGAGGGUGAAAGCGGGGGAUCGCAAGACCUCGCGCUAUUGGAGCGGCCGAUAUCAGAUUAGCUAGUUGGUGGGGUAAAGGCCCACCAAGGCAACGAUCUGUAGUUGGUCUGAGAGGACGACCAGCCACACUGGGACUGAGACACGGCCCAGACUCCUACGGGAGGCAGCAGUGGGGAAUUUUGGACAAUGGGCGCAAGCCUGAUCCAGCAAUGCCGCGUGCAGGAAGAAGGCCUUCGGGUUGUAAACUGCUUUUGUCAGGGAGGAAAUCCUCUGGGUUAAUACCUC
This 383-nucleotide ribosomal RNA is filed under the name uncultured bacterium. RNAcentral describes it as "bacterial SSU rRNA". It matches the Rfam family "Bacterial small subunit ribosomal RNA", at positions 83 to 477 of the family's 1533-position model. The record is from RNAcentral.